Long non-coding RNA from Daphnia carinata, 714 nucleotides. RefSeq lists it as uncharacterized. The record is from RefSeq and is a predicted model, not a curated record. The transcript has 3 exons. Lineage: Eukaryota; Metazoa; Arthropoda; Branchiopoda; Diplostraca; Daphniidae.
UAGGAAGGUGGAUAUGUUGCCGUCUCAAAUGAAAUCGACGUGAUUCAAGUGGCUUCCAUCAUUAACUUAUACAAUGUUCAGUUGCAGCAAAAUGUUGUCUUAUACGAGGCAGCCUUCUUCGAAUUUGCUUACGAGCAUCGCACCGUUGACGGAUACGAGUUGAACGAAUUGCUCAAGGCUUACCGGUGUUCUUUCAGCACGCUUUUUACGACGCUCGUGGAAAGAUGGUACACAGCGUUUGUGAUUUCUUGUCGGCUGUCUUUUACAUCACCGUAGCAUAUGGUAACGUAAUGUACAGAAACUACCGAAGAUGAAUGCCGCUUCAUCUAAAAUUUUAUGUGUCCAUUAAGUGUAUAUCUAUAUUGCUUUGAUGUCCUCAUAACAAAUCUGUUCAACAUAAAUGCAGGCAAAUGGUUACUAGCUCCACUUCCAAAUACUAACAGAAAAACUGGAAAACGUAGGAAUGAAAGCAAAAUAACGAGACAGACACGGAAAACUAACGGGUAACCGCAGCAAAUGUGAUGUGUCAAAGUAAAGCACGCCAUCAGUGCCAGUAACGAGGCUGCUUCACUUUUGUACGCAAGAAGAAAGGGUGAGACAGUUGCGGAAGUAGAGAAUGGACCGGGCAAAUCAACACUGGCAGAAACUGGUGAGACCAUUGCAGUAAACGGCGUUAACAAACAGCAACGAUUGUGCUUUAUUGUUAUAUGUGUG